This 300-nucleotide unclassified non-coding RNA is filed under the name plant metagenome. RNAcentral's name for it is "partial contains 5.8S ribosomal RNA, internal transcribed spacer 2, and large subunit ribosomal RNA". The stretch from base 1 to 106 matches the Rfam family "5.8S ribosomal RNA", at positions 49 to 154 of the family's 154-position model. The record is from RNAcentral.
CGAAAUGCGAUAAGUAAUGUGAAUUGCAGAAUUCAGUGAAUCAUCGAAUCUUUGAACGCACAUUGCGCCCGCCAGUAUUCUGGCGGGCAUGCCUGUUCGAGCGUCAUUUCAACCAUCAAGCACCGGCUUGUGUUGGGGACCUGCGGCUGCCGCAGGCCCCGAAAACCAGUGGCGGGCUCGCUGUCACUCCGAGCGUAGUAGUAUCACCUCGCUCAGGGCGUGCCGCGGGUUCCGGCCGUUAAAGCACCCACUACCCAAGGUUGACCUCGGAUCAGGUAGGAAUACCCGCUGAACUUAAGC